GACGAACGCUGGCGGCGUGCUUAACACAUGCAAGUCGAACGAAGAGCGAUGGAAGCUUGCCUCUCUCAAUCUUCGUGGCGCACGGGUGAGUAACGCGUAAUCAACCUCCCCUUCAGAGUGUGACAACAGUUGGAAACGACUGCUAAUACCGCAUACGACCUCAUCUCGGCAUCGAGGAUAGAUGAAAGGUAGCUUCUACAUGUAAGCUAUCACUGCAGGUGGGGAGUGCGUUUGAUUGGUCAGUUGGAGGGGUAACGGCACACCCAGGCGAUGAUCAGUAGCGGGACGGGGAGGGAGAACGGGCACACUUGGACUGAGACACGGCCCAGACUCAUACGGGAGGCAGCAGAGGGGAAGCGUCCGAAAGAGAAGAAAGUCUGACGGAGCAACGCCGCGGGAGUGAGGACGACCAUCGGGUUAUGAAGCUCAGUUAAUCGGGACGAAAGGACUUCUUGAGAAUAGUGAGAAUGAUUGACGGUACCGGAAUAGAAAGCCACGGCUAACUACGUG
Molecule: ribosomal RNA, 510 nt
Filed under: uncultured bacterium
Lineage: Bacteria
Description: partial 16S ribosomal RNA
Rfam family: Bacterial small subunit ribosomal RNA
Source: RNAcentral